UACGGGGGGAGCAAGCGUUGUUCGGAUUUACUGGGCGUAAAGGGCGCGUAGGCGGUUUGCUAAGUGGGAUGUGAAAUCCCCGGGCUUAACCUGGGAAUUGCAUUUCAAACUGGCCGACUAGAGUACGGUAGAGGGAGGUAGAAUUUCCUGUGUAGCGGUGAAAUGCGUAGAUAUAGGAAGGAAUACCAGUGGCGGAGGCGGCCUCCUGGAUCGAUACUGACGCUGAGGCGCGAAAGCGUGGGGAGCAAACAGG
This 253-nucleotide ribosomal RNA is filed under the name uncultured bacterium. Its description in RNAcentral is "partial 16S ribosomal RNA". It matches the Rfam family "Bacterial small subunit ribosomal RNA", at positions 524 to 776 of the family's 1533-position model. The record is from RNAcentral.